CAUUGUGUUGACUAUAGGGAUAGUCAUUCUUAUAUUUUAAAUUUAGAUUGCAAACAUCUUCGUUUUUUAUAUAAAUGUACUUUAUUUUAUUUAUUUUGUAUUAAAAAUACACGAUUGUCCUUAAUAUUUUUUCCAUAGAGAUGCAGGCAUCGACGUAGAAGUACAGAGAAUUACAAAGUGGCAUGAUAUGAAAGCAGUAUUAAAGAAUGUCAUGAUAAGGGACCAAAUCGAUUUUGAAAGUUGAUAUUAUGCACUUAGGCCAAACACAUUCUUCCUCAAUGUCGUCAACUCUUAGCCUUUCGACAUCAAUCCUCAAGGAAAAAACAGAGGAAAGCAUUUAAUGGAGAUUAACAAAAGAAAUGAUUGCUUUCAACAACAACAACAAACAGAAAACUAAGAAAUCAUUCCAUGCAGAUACAGAUACCGAAACUUGAUUCAAUAGCUUGAAGUAUGACAAUUUUUCGGUCGAAUAAUUCAACAGCUUGUGGGCGGCAUGUAGCCAAUUAACUUCAUCGAACAAAGCGAAAUAUUUGAAAAAGGGCCCUAAUAAAAAAACUUAAGAUACAGACUGUUUGUUUUUUCUACACAUUAUGAGAAGCUUUUUGACUACUAAAAUGAAGCUAAAAACUAACUAAAAUUGUUAACAGAUCGAUAAAGACUUUAUAACGUUCUAUGCAACCAGCACUUCAAUACCUUCCUUGUAGCAAAAUCAUUGGAAUACAUCAAAAAACUUCAUGAAGGAAAACAUUAAGGACUAAAAGAUUACAGAAACAUUGAAGACUUGGGAGAUACUAAUUUUGGAGAAGGUGAUUUUGUGCUAAAGAUAAUUAAAAGUAUUUACUUCUAAUUAUUUUCAAUAGCAGCAGUUUCAAGAAAAUCUGACACCGGAGCCAAGUCAAGAAGCAAGUUCACCAUCAAAGAGUGACUGAUGGCAUUCAUCUUUGAAGCAGAGACGAUGCAAAGUAUUAGAGGACAACAUAGCAUUCCGAAAAUCCAGAGGUGAAACUAUUCAACCUCUAAUACUUACAUUUUACAUUAAGGGAACAAAUUAAUACUUCAUUUCGUUAUAUGGCUCCAAAUCAAGACAACCAAUGUCAUAAAAGCUGUGGACGUCUGUUUCAAAUACUUUUUUUGUUCAACUUAAACUUUAUAGAAACAUGAAUCCAGAACUGUCAACAAUGCAACCAACGUUAAGUACAUAAUUUUAUUUAAUUAUAAACAGAAGUAAGUAACUCUGUUGUUUUUAUUUGUGGUGUAUUAUUUCUUGGGUUUAAUUUUUUUGAACAUUUUUUAUUUCUUAACUACAUUCAAAAAAAAAAAUGAUUUAAACAAAAUAUGUAAAGUAAGCACAUUAAGUUAGAAAAACAAGUAAACAAGAAUCAUAAUUGCAACACAAGAAAUAACACACACAAAAUAAAAAUAACAAAUUAAGCUGUUUUAGUUUUGUCCAUCACUGUAUAAGUUGUAUUUAGUAUAUAAGUACUAAUAUAAUAAAAAAUAUACCAAAUAAUCUAUUAAAAUAAAUGUAUUUGCACAAAAACACAAAUUUUGUUUUUAAUGAAAUUUAAAUUUUGAAGAUUUUACAGAUU
This is a long non-coding RNA of Eupeodes corollae, 1589 nucleotides long. RefSeq lists it as uncharacterized. The record is from RefSeq and is a predicted model, not a curated record. The transcript is spliced from 6 exons. Lineage: Eukaryota; Metazoa; Arthropoda; Insecta; Diptera; Syrphidae.